CAGACCUCUAAUCGGAAAAGACUACCCGCUGAGUUUAAGCAUAUCAAUAAGCCGGAAGGAAU
This 62-nucleotide ribosomal RNA is filed under the name Sanionia uncinata. RNAcentral describes it as "partial 28S ribosomal RNA". Lineage: Eukaryota; Viridiplantae; Streptophyta; Bryopsida; Hypnales; Amblystegiaceae. The record is from RNAcentral.